CUUUCUUCUCACGUGGGCAGAUUCAAGCGACAGCAGAACCAAACUACAAUGUACAAUGGAGAGCGGCUAUCAUGGAGGUAGACCCAGAUUGAGUGAUGAAGACGUCUGCAAAAUGGUUGCGUUGCAUGACCCUGUACGACACGGUUUCUCCAUGGAGGAUCCUUUGGAAGAUAACUUGUUCAACUUAGAAAUAACUGAGAGGAUUGGUAUGGGGUGACGCCACAGCUUCUAUCUGGAUUUGUGCAACUGUGAUGCUAUCCCACGACAGCCCAGCCUCUGAAAGGCAUGCAAGACAUAAACUGGAGUUGGAUCAGUGGCAGUGGACACACCAUGGGCAAAUCUUCGUCAACGCCUCCAUUUUGUGUACAUGGGGAGGCUAUGAGGAACAUGGGUGGAGAGGAUACCUGUAUUGAGGAGAGGAUGAAAUGGAGGUUACAGCCCGAGGACCAAACAGAUACCAUUGGGGAAAAAGUCUCCUGGACUUCAAGGAUGGAGGCCCAAGAGGACCACAGCAUCGUAGGCUUGGUCUAAUCUUUAAGACCAAACCAGCAGAUGUCUCAAACUGUUGAUUUUGUCCUUCAUUAGGUUUGCCCGUUCAGUUCUGAAGUGUGGGUGGUUUAUCAAAGGUGUGAAUGACUGUCUGUUAUGGUUUGUGGUCAUAUUGUAUGAUGUGUGUUGCAGGAUUUUCUCUUAUUGGACAUGAAUAUAUUUGAAGUUAUUUGUGUCCUUGUUGGUGGUGUGUGUAUGAAUGAGGAUCUGUGUACUGCAAUUUAAAAAAAAUAAAAAAGUUUUUCUGACUAUUCCC
Molecule: long non-coding RNA, 805 nt
Organism: Clupea harengus (Atlantic herring)
Lineage: Eukaryota; Metazoa; Chordata; Actinopteri; Clupeiformes; Clupeidae
Source: Ensembl